UUUGUGUCCUGCAAGGUUACUGAAUUUGUUUAUUAGUUCUGUUUGCAGAUGACAGGAUCUUAUAAGUAGAAAAAUUCUAAAGAUUCCAUUAAAAAAUAAUUGUGCACUGCCAAAAGGUGUCGCUGUUGUUGUUGUUGUUGUUGUUUUUGAGACAGGCUUUUACUCUGUCACCCAGGCUGGAGUGCAGUGGCGUGAUCUCAGCUCACUGCAACCUCCACCUCCUGGGUUCAAGCAAUUCUCCUGUCUCAGCCUCCCAAGUAGCUGGGAUUACAGGCAUGUACCACCACACCUGGCUAAUUUUUGUAUGUUUAGUAGAGUGUAGGUUUCACCAUGUUGGCCAGCUUGGUCUCGAACUCCUAACCUCAAGUGAUCCACCCGCCUUGGCCUCCCAAAGUGCUGGGAUUACAGGCAUGAACCACCAUGCCCUGCAAGAAAAACUUUUAUGCGUUGUUAUUUUUUUAAAUUUCAUUUAGUUGUUUAGGUGUGUUUUCUUGCAUCUCACUGACCUUCUUUAAGAUAAUUAUUUUGAAUUUUUUUCAGACAAUUCAUAGAUAUCCAAUUUUUUGUGGUAGGUUGCUAGGGCUUUGUUAAUUUUCUUUGGUGGUUUCAUGUUUGUCUGAUUUCUUGUUAUUCAAGUAACCUUUUCAUUUGAAAGAGCAAAUACUUCUUCCAGGCCUUAGAAACUGGUUUUGGCAGGUUUGUGUUCUGUUAAGUUCCCUUAACAGUUCCCAGGCAGUACAAGUUCCCAGGCAAAUGAGUUUGCCUAUGGGAUUGUAGCCAAAUGCUUUUGGAGCCAGGUAACAUGACUGCUGCUGGGUCCACAAUGGAGUCCACAGUUGGUGAGCCUACUAUCAGGGGCUCUAGCAGGCGUGGAUCCUGUCUGGGCCCAGGGUGGUCUCUACUGUCUCCAGGACCUUGGUCCAAAGGGCUGGUACUGGGCUGAUGGUCUACUUCAGGUGCACAGGAAUAGGCCUGUUGUCCGGUUUGUGAAUGGGUAUGACUCCUCCAGGUCCCCAGGAGGGCUCUUGCUGGACCACUGGGUGAGACCUUGGGCAGGCAGUACUGCUCCAGUCUGCAGCUGAGAGGGGCGGAAACCAAGUUGCAGGGCUGCUUCAAGGUCUACAACUGAGACAGAAAUAUUCAGGCCUAUCUCUGGUGUCACUGAUGGGCAUGUCUCACAGUGGGUCCCUGGGCAGGCAGCCAUGCUCUCGAUCUGUAGCUAAGUUGGAGUUGAGAUUCAGGGCCUUUUCAGGAUCUGCUAUGGGGACUGAGGUUGGCAAGUAUGACCCUGGGGACUCACAUGGACUUGUCUCCCAGCUAUUCCCUGGCUGGGCAGAACUGCUCUUAGACCUCAGCUGAGGGAGCCUUGGGCUGAAAUUCAGGGUCAUUUCAGGAUUUGCAAUGUGACUGAAGUUGGCAAGGCUGUCCCAGUGGCAUAGAUGGGCAAGUCUCUCAGCAGCUCCAUGUACAGGCAAAAUUGCUCUUGGGUUGCUGCUGAGAGGGUUUGGAGGCAAGAUUAAGGGCCCUUUCUCAUCUGCCUGGGGACUAAAAUCCAAAAUCCUGCCCUAGGGACUCAUAUGGACAUGUCUCUCUCUGGGUCCUUAUGCAAGCAGGACUGAUUGCUUACUGCAGCUGAGAUGGGCUGGAGUUGAGUUAGAUGGUUGUUUCAGGGCCUCAGUUGAGAGCAAGUUCAGUGGGCCUGUCUUCUGAGGUACUACUGUGCAUGACUGCCUCCUGUCAGAGCCCUAGGCAGAUGGUUUUGGUAGCAGGAUCAAGUCCAAAUAGGGCUUUCAACAAACAUGAGGCAGAUGGGGCCAUUUCCAAAUCUGGGGUUAGGACCACCAUCAAUGAGUUUACCACCUGGGUGUGGGUCUACCCUCUCAAAACAACUCUCCUAGGUCUUGGGCUCCACUGGGGUUUUACAACUCCUGCCUAAAUCCCCAGGUUCUCACAAAGGCACUUUUGCCCUUGAAUAGAUGAGAAAUUAUUGUUGCCAUUGGGGAAUGUGAGUGGGGGACUACCUACUCU
This 2028-nucleotide long non-coding RNA is filed under the name Homo sapiens (human). RNAcentral describes it as "HSALNT0228598". The record is from RNAcentral. Lineage: Eukaryota; Metazoa; Chordata; Mammalia; Primates; Hominidae.